RNAcentral lists this ribosomal RNA (591 nucleotides) under uncultured bacterium. Its description in RNAcentral is "bacterial SSU rRNA". It matches the Rfam family "Bacterial small subunit ribosomal RNA", at positions 128 to 790 of the family's 1533-position model. The record is from RNAcentral.
GCCUUUCAGAGAGGAAUAACAUUUGGAAACGAAUGGUAAUACCACAUACUGAGAGAUGGACUCGCGUCCGAUUAGCUGGAUGGUGAGGUAACGGCCCACCAUGGCGACGAUCGGUAGCCGGACUGAGAGGUUGAACGGCCACAUUGGGACUGAGACACGGCCCUGACUCCUACGGGAGGCAGCAGUGGGGAAUAUUGCACAAUGGGGGAAACCCUGAUGCAGCAACGCCGCGUGAAGGAAGACGGUCUUCGGAUUGUAAACUUUGUUCUUGGGAAGCGGUAGCCAAGGAGGAAGCACGGCUAACUACGUGCCAGCAGCCGCGGUAAUACGUAGGUGCAAGCGUUGUCCGGAAUUACUGGGUGUAAAGGGAGCGCAGGCGGGAAAUCAAGUUGGAUGUGAAAUGUCGGGGCUUAACCCCGGACUGCAUCCAAAACUGAUAUUCUUGAGUGAAGUAGAGGUAGGCGGAAUUCCGAGUGUAGCGGUGAAAUGCGUAGAUAUUCGGAGGAACACCAGUGGCGAAGGCGGCCUACUGGGCUUUAACUGACGCUGAGGCUCGAAAGUGUGGGGAGCAAACAGGAUUAGAUACCCUGG